UAGGGAACCUUCCGCAAUGGACGAAAGUCUGACGGAGCAACGCCGCGUGAGUGAUGAAGGCUUUCGGGUCGUAAAACUCUGUUGUUAGGGAAGAACAAGUACGAGAGUAACUGCUCGUACCUUGACGGUACCUAACCAGAAAGCCACGGCUAACUACGUGCCAGCAGCCGCGGUAAUACGUAGGUGGCAAGCGUUAUCCGGAAUUAUUGGGCGUAAAGCGCGCGCAGGCGGUUUCUUAAGUCUGAUGUGAAAGCCCACGGCUCAACCGUGGAGGGUCAUUGGAAACUGGGGAACUUGAGUGCAGAAGAGAAAAGCGGAAUUCCACGUGUAGCGGUGAAAUGCGUAGAGAUGUGGAGGAACACCAGUGGCGAAGGCGGCUUUUUGGUCUGUAACUGACGCUGAGGCGCGAAAGCGUGGGGAGCAAACAGGAUUAGAUACCCUGGUAGUCCACGCCGUAAACGAUGAGUGCUAAGUGUUAGAGGGUUUCCGCCCUUUAGUGCUGCAGCUAACGC
Molecule: ribosomal RNA, 512 nt
Filed under: uncultured Bacillota bacterium
Lineage: Bacteria; Bacillati; Bacillota
Description: bacterial SSU rRNA
Rfam family: Bacterial small subunit ribosomal RNA
Source: RNAcentral